UACGUAGGGUGCAAGCGUUGUCCGGAAUUAUUGGGCGUAAAGAGCUCGUAGGCGGUUUGUUGCGUCGGCUGUGAAAUCCCGAGGCUCAACCUCGGGUCUGCAGUCGAUACGAGCAAACUAGAGUGUUGCAGGGGAGACUGGAAUUCCUGGUGUAGCGGUGAAAUGCGUAGAUAUCGGUAGGAACACCCGUGGCGAAGGCGGUCUCCUGGGACGUUCUUGACGCUGAGGCGCGAAAGCUGGGGGAGCGAACGGG
RNAcentral lists this ribosomal RNA (253 nucleotides) under uncultured bacterium. RNAcentral's name for it is "partial 16S ribosomal RNA". It matches the Rfam family "Bacterial small subunit ribosomal RNA", at positions 524 to 776 of the family's 1533-position model. The record is from RNAcentral.